UCGAGAAUCUUCGGCAAUGGGCGCAAGCCUGACCGAGCGACGCCGCGUGCGGGAUGAAGGCCCUUGGGUUGUAAACCGCUGUCAGAGGGGAUGAAGUGCCGGAAAGCUAUCUUUCCGGUUUGACAUAGCCUCAGAGGAAGCACGGGCUAAGUUCGUGCCAGCAGCCGCGGUAAUACGAACUGUGCAAACGUUAUUCGGAAUCACUGGGCUUAAAGGGUGCGUAGGCGGCCAUGUAAGUAGGGUGUGAAAGCCCCCGGCUUAACCGGGGAAUGGCGCUCUAAACUGCAUGGCUGGAGUGAGAUAGGGGUGUGUGGAACUUCCGGUGGAGCGGUGAAAUGUGUUGAUAUCGGAAGGAACGCCGGUGGCGAAAGCGACACACUGGAUCUCAACUGACGCUGAGGCACGAAAGCCAGGGGAGCAAACGGG
This 426-nucleotide ribosomal RNA is filed under the name uncultured bacterium. RNAcentral describes it as "bacterial SSU rRNA". It matches the Rfam family "Bacterial small subunit ribosomal RNA", at positions 355 to 776 of the family's 1533-position model. The record is from RNAcentral.